This is a non-coding RNA of Zootermopsis nevadensis, 908 nucleotides long. Lineage: Eukaryota; Metazoa; Arthropoda; Insecta; Blattodea; Termopsidae. The record is from RefSeq and is a predicted model, not a curated record.
CAAUUUUACUUAACAUUUCGAGUGGGCGUAAAAGUUGGUAUGUCACCCCAUACUAAAAGAAAACAAGACGCAGAUAUAUGACGGCGAUAUAUGUUCCGCGGAGGACAGUGUGCGAACCAGCGCAAUAUGUUACAUGUCGGGGGCAGAUGCGGUCAAUACGAAGCUGUCAUCAAAGGACCUAGAACUCCGACGCCGUGGUAUGGAAAUAUGGACAGAAUUUUUCACAAGUUUCAUCCCCAUCUGUGAGACUCUAUAUAAAAGGUUUUCAUGGACGUGGUGUUAGUCUGCAGAGAACACCGGCCUCUCCACAACACCGCAUAAGAUAUGAAGUUAUCGUGUUCCAUGAUUUUUCUCUUGGCACUUCUGUUGGCUUUGCUGGUCGACUGUAACACCGGACCUCCGCACCGAAGAGUUCCUUUCAACGGCAGUAUGUACGGAAAGCGAACUGCCAACAGCCUCUCAGUAGAUUACGACAGCAACGCAAAAUCUCUUUCAUCCUUAUGCGAGGUGGCUACUGAAGUUUGCUCGGCCUGGUUUCCGCAACAAACCGAAAACAACUGAUCCACGACACAGAUGUUUUCCUCAGAAGACUACGUCACACCUCUUCCUGGAAGAAGAUGUCCAUUCCAUCACAGCACAACACGGAAGUCAUAUGUGAUAAAACAUGUCAUAUUUCAACAUUUGCAGUUUUCUGAAGUAUUUUAAUUUUCAAUAAUUGUUAAUCAGUGCCAAUCAAUUUUAAUCAUUUCAAAUAUUUAAAUGUAAUUUUAAUAUUCACACAGUUCUGUCGAUCAAUAAUAGUAUCAUUAACAUAAAUCCACUUGAAGAUGGUCUAUAAUGGAUCGAAACAUGUAGUAGAGUAAACCAUUCAAAGGAUAAAACCAAAUUUAAAAAGUUAUGUGGAUGGA